Molecule: ribosomal RNA, 301 nt
Filed under: uncultured bacterium
Lineage: Bacteria
Description: partial 16S ribosomal RNA
Rfam family: Bacterial small subunit ribosomal RNA
Source: RNAcentral
CAGUCGCCGCGGUAAUACGUAGGUGGCGAGCGUUGUCCGGAAUUAUUGGGCGUAAAGCGAGCGCAGGCGGUUAGAUAAGUCUGAAGUUAAAGGCUGUGGCUUAACCAUAGUACGCUUUGGAAACUGUUUAACUUGAGUGCAAGAGGGGAGAGUGGAAUUCCAUGUGUAGCGGUGAAAUGCGUUGAGAUCGGAAAGAACACCAACGGCGAAAGCACUCUGCUGGGCCGACACUGACACUGAGAGACGAAAGCUAGGGGAGCAAAUGGGAUUAGAUACCCCCGUAGUCCCUGUCUCUUAUACA